GAUGAACGCUGGCGGCGUGCCUAAUACAUGCAAGUCGAGCGAACAGACGAGGAGCUUGCUCCUCUGACGUUAGCGGCGGACGGGUGAGUAACACGUGGAUAACCUACCUAUAAGACUGGGAUAACUUCGGGAAACCGGAGCUAAUACCGGAUAAUAUAUUGAACCGCAUGGUUCAAUAGUGAAAGACGGUUUUGCUGUCAAUUAAAGAUGGAUCCGCGCCGCAUUAGCUAGUUGGUAAGGUAAAGGCUUACAAAGGCGACGAUGCGUAGCCGACCUGAGAGGGUGAUCGGCCACACUGGAACGUAGACACGGUCCAGACUCCUACGGGAGGCAGCAGUAGGGAAUCUUCCGCAAUGGGCGAAAGCCUGACGGAGCAACGCCGCGUGAGUGAUGAAGGUCUUCGGAUCGUAAAACUCUGUUAUUAGGGAAGAACAAAUGUGUAAGUAACUAUGCACGUCUUGACGGUACCUAAUCAGAAAGCCACGGCUAACUACGUG
This 497-nucleotide ribosomal RNA is filed under the name uncultured bacterium. RNAcentral's name for it is "partial 16S ribosomal RNA". It matches the Rfam family "Bacterial small subunit ribosomal RNA", at positions 28 to 507 of the family's 1533-position model. The record is from RNAcentral.